GGGGCCAUAGCUCAGCCGGGAGAGCGCCUGCUUUGCAAGCAGGAGGUCGGCGGUUCGAUCCCGCCUGGCUCCACCA
This 76-nucleotide transfer RNA is filed under the name Gammaproteobacteria bacterium. Its description in RNAcentral is "tRNA-Ala". It matches the Rfam family "tRNA". Rfam says of the family: Transfer RNA (tRNA) molecules are approximately 80 nucleotides in length. Their secondary structure includes four short double-helical elements and three loops (D, anti-codon, and T loops). Further hydrogen bonds mediate the characteristic L-shaped molecular structure. tRNAs have two regions of fundamental functional importance: the anti-codon, which is responsible for specific mRNA codon recognition, and the 3' end, to which the tRNAs corresponding amino acid is attached (by aminoacyl-tRNA synthetases). tRNAs cope with the degeneracy of the genetic code in two manners: having more than one tRNA (with a specific anti-codon) for a particular amino acid; and 'wobble' base-pairing, i.e. permitting non-standard base-pairing at the 3rd anti-codon position. The record is from RNAcentral. Lineage: Bacteria; Pseudomonadati; Pseudomonadota; Gammaproteobacteria. RNAcentral also lists the same sequence under 5 other names.